This 460-nucleotide ribosomal RNA is filed under the name uncultured bacterium. RNAcentral's name for it is "partial 16S ribosomal RNA". It matches the Rfam family "Bacterial small subunit ribosomal RNA", at positions 338 to 795 of the family's 1533-position model. The record is from RNAcentral.
CCUACGGGAGGCAGCAGUGAGGAAUAUUGGUCAAUGGACGAGAGUCUGAACCAGCCAAGUAGCGUGAAGGAUGACUGCCCUAUGGGUUGUAAACUUCUUUUAUAUGGGAAUAAAAUGUUCCACGUGUGGGAGUUUGUAUGUACCAUAUGAAUAAGGAUCGGCUAACUCCGUGCCAGCAGCCGCGGUAAUACGGAGGAUCCGAGCGUUAUCCGGAUUUAUUGGGUUUAAAGGGAGCGUAGGUGGAUUGUUAAGUCAGUUGUGAAAGUUUGCGGCUCAACCGUAAAAUUGCAGUUGAAACUGGCAGUCUUGAGUACAGUAGAGGUGGGCGGAAUUCGUGGUGGAGCGGUGAAAUGCUUAGAUAUCACGAAGAACUCCGAUUGCGAAGGCAGCUCACUGGACUGCAACUGACACUGAGGCUCGAAAGUGUGGGUAUCAAACAGGAUUAGAUACCCUUGUAGUC